GUGGGGAAUUUUGGACAAUGGGCGCAAGCCUGAUCCAGCAAUGCCGCGUGCAGGAAGAAGGCCUUCGGGUUGUGAACUGCUUUUGUACGGAACGAAACGGUCCGAGUUAAUACCCUGGGCUAAUGACGGUACCGUAAGAAUAAGCACCGGCUAACUACGUGCCAGCAGCCGCGGUAAUACGUAGGGUGCAAGCGUUAAUCGGAAUUACUGGGCGUAAAGCGUGCGCAGGCGGUUUUGUAAGACAGGUGUGAAAUCCCCGGGCUCAACCUGGGAAUUGCGCUUGUGACUGCAAGGCUGGAGUGCGGCAGAGGGGGAUGGAAUUCCGCGUGUAGCAGUGAAAUGCGUAGAUAUGCGGAGGAACACCGAUGGCGAAGGCAAUCCCCUGGGCCUGCACUGACGCUCAUGCACGAAAGCGUGGGGAGCAAACAGGAUUAGAAACCCUUGUAGUCC
RNAcentral lists this ribosomal RNA (450 nucleotides) under uncultured bacterium. RNAcentral describes it as "partial 16S ribosomal RNA". It matches the Rfam family "Bacterial small subunit ribosomal RNA", at positions 354 to 796 of the family's 1533-position model. The record is from RNAcentral.